RNAcentral lists this ribosomal RNA (490 nucleotides) under uncultured bacterium. RNAcentral describes it as "bacterial SSU rRNA". It matches the Rfam family "Bacterial small subunit ribosomal RNA", at positions 560 to 1050 of the family's 1533-position model. The record is from RNAcentral.
GUAAAGAGCUCGUAGGCGGUUCAACAAGUCGGUCGUGAAAGUUCAGGGCUCAACCCUGAAAUGUCGAUCGAUACUGUUGUGACUAGGAUACGGCAGAGGUGAGUGGAAUUCCGAGUGUAGCGGUGAAAUGCGUAGAUAUUCGGAGGAACACCAAUGGCGAAGGCAGCUCUCUGGCUCGUCACUGACGCUGAGGUGCGAAAGCGUGGGUAGCAAACAGGAUUAGAUACCCUGGUAGUCCACGCCGUAAACGAUGACAACUAGCCGUUGGGCAGAUUUAACUGUUCAGUGGCACAGCUAACGCAUUAAGUUGUCCGCCUGGGGAGUACGGCCGCAAGGCUAAAACUCAAAUGAAUUGACGGGGGCCCGCACAAGCGGUGGAGCAUGUGGUUUAAUUCGAUGAUACGCGAGGAACCUUACCAGGGCUUAAAUGUAAGUUGCAUGGAUCAGAGAUGAUCCUUUCUUCGGACUACUUACAAGGUGCUGCAUGGUU